GCACAGAGCCCUUCUCGGGGCUCGAACUCACAAACCAUGAGAUCAUGACCUGAGCUGAAGUUGGACGCUCAACCAACUGAGCCACUCAGGCACCCCAGUAAACACCAGGCUUUUAAAAAGCACUAACAAGGUGUAGUUUUUUCCCAAUCCCGUUCACAUAAAGAAAUUUUUUUUUUCAAUUUACACCCUCACAAUUUGUUUAGGAUAAUCUCUUUUGUUCUAUCAGAUCACAUAGAUUGAAUAUUUUGUGGUAUUAUGUUUUCUGAUAACAAUGCGAGUCAGAAUUUCAGCAUACCAUGGAUAAAGCUAUCAUAUUCUUUUAUUCAUUACAUAUAACAUACCUAUUAUGAUUUAGACCUUUGAAAAGCCAGCGUUUUAUUAAAACAUUUCAGACAUAUAAAGAUAUUUGAUUUUAAAGAUAUAAUAUACCAUGUCUUGCUUAUUUGAAUUAAACAUUUGUCUCACAUAUUAGUACACCACACACUUUUCCUUGUUUGGAUCGAACCAGAAUGACCAUGUGCUUGAUUCUAAAUGCAGUUGAAACAUUUCAUACGAUGAUCAUUUAACACGAAAUGUAGUAAAGAAAUAUCUACACACAAGUAUGCAUUUGGUAUUACCAAUGAAGAAUACACCUGAAGUCAAUGGUACCGUUUAAUCUUCCAUGCUAUGGCAUUUCAUUUUCUAGCAAAACAAGUCUUCUGUCUUCUGCUACCAUUUUAUAUAAAAUAAAUAAAACACCAACUUCUUUCCUUAUCCUUGCAUUGCUUACUCCUCCAAAAAAGAUACGUUUUAUAAAAGAAGUCGUUAUAUUAAGAUGUAUGUCUGCUUUCCUUCAGAAGACAGAUUAGAGCAUUUCAGCUGCCACUAAAGUUGUCGCUCUUUGUAACAAAAUGUAAUGCUGCAUAUAUAAAAAUGCAAAGUGUAAUGUAGAGUCAAAUGUCUCUCAGCACAAGAGUUGUUCGUUUUAGCACCCAUUUUGUUGGUAUUUAUCAACUUACUAAUUAUAGGCAAAUUGCUUCCAACACGAAAACUGUGAUGAUUAGCAGUUUUUUCUGCUAACUCUAGUCUACUGUAGUUCCGGUAAAGAAUGUCAAUAAUCCAGAUUCCUUUCUUUUUCCUGGCUUAGAAAAUGUAAAAAUAAAUUCAUCAGGCUAGCAUUUCUCAACUUUCGGGAAAUGUGGUUUGGAAGGAUGAGGGAGGAAAAAGGAAAAAGAGAUGGAUUAAAUAUAUCGAAUCAGGAAGGUCUACUUGCUACCUCCCAUCAUUUGGACAAUCGUGAAGGCUCACUGAAGAUUGGUCUAUGACAAAAUGGAAUUAGGCAAUCCCAAUGUAAUUAACGGAGUAGCUGCAUUUGAGCAUUUGCACAGGAAAUGCAUCAAUCGCUAGAACCCAGCAUGCAAUCUCUAUAUUAAAGGGAGGAAGAAGUUUCUUAAGCACUACCUCAUAUGCUAUCAUUGAUACCUAGCAAAAGGCUGGCAUAUAUUGUUUUAAACCUCUCAUCUAACUCUUCAGCAGAGAUCUAUGAUAUUACUCGGUUAGACAUAAAACAGUUUGUAACCUUCAGACCUCCAUUACAGUCCUUUAAAGUGUGCUCAAAUGAAAAUGGGAGUAACAUGCCAAUCUAGAAAAUGUUUUCAUAACACGCAAUACUAUAAAAGGUUGAAUUUUUCUAUCACCAUUGCUAAUUUCAACCAUUUGUUUCUCAUUACAAUAAGUAAACAAGAUUAAAUGGAAAACCUUACAGUUCACAGAGUACAUUACACAGCAGAAAUGUCUGUAGCGAAUACGGACUUAGUGUCUUAACCAACUUAUGUGCCUCUAAGUGACUAUUUCUCCUUGCUAUGAAGUUUUUACAAUUUUAAAGUUAUAUUGGCAGGUUCCAGUCAACAAUGAUGUCUGCGAUGGCCUUCUUUCUCUAAUACAUUGCUUUUAGUCUAAUUGCUUAUUUGCAGUCUCAGCAAGCAGAGAGAAGAAUUUUAUCCUCUUUGCCUUGUCUCUGAAUACUAACUAGCUGGCCCAGCCGAGGCUCUCUAAAGAGAGAAACUGCAUGAGGGACACACUGCAUUUGACACAGUCAAGAGGUAAAAGAAAGAGCAAAACAAAAGUCUAUUCAGGACUGAAUCCUCUGAUAUUCUCCCCCAUCCCCCAACUCCUUUAAAAAUAAAGCAAAAGGGGGCAAAACCCAUAAAUCCAUGCCUGAAUGCCUGAGGUUGUCAGAAUAAAGGACAAUGAAUGACAGGUGACUGUCAGUAUAAUUCUCAGUCUCCAAGUUAUCACUUUUUGGCAUUGUUGAACAAAAAAAAGUGUAUACAUAACAAGGAAAUAUGUCAUGUGUUCUCUGUGAACGCGCACAGUUCAGUAUAGGAGAAGCAGCUAAGUAUUUCCACAUGGGCACAUGGGUUUCUCUUCAGUUCCGUGUAUUUUUUGCUGGAAAAUGUUCUGAAAUUAUGAGAUGUUUUUCUAGUGACAAUAGUGCUAAGUAACUUUGGGGAAACUGCUGAAGGGUUAUGAACCUGGCUUUCGCUUAAAAAAUUUUUUUUUAUUUAAAGCAUGGGAGAUCUGACUUGAUAAAUAAAACCCUUUGCACAUGUUGCUAAAAUUCUAAAAAAGGAGCAGGAGCCCACUGAUGAGAGUUUUUCUGUUUGAUUUUUAAAAGGCUUCUCACAAGCGAUUUUCCCCCAAGAUCUCUUUACACUUUCAUCUUCAGAGACUGCCUUAAUCCUCCGGUCUUUGUUGUUCCAAUGUCUGAUCAGUUUGUUUUAAAGUCGCAUCUACCCCACGUUUGCUAGAACUGAAACUUGACUUCAGGCACUUGCAGUUAUAAAUCCCUACAAACGUGCAGGCUUUCCAGAGAAAGGUGGAAAGUGCCGAAACAGAGAAGGUUUUGAUGAUUAUUUAAAUCAUGUGUAUUAAGUUGUCUGCUGCAUGAACUACAGGUACAGAGAGAUAACAAACGUGAAGUGACGGGGUAAUUUGUAAUUAAAAUAAGCUUGGCCUCCUUCUCAGAUUACUGGCACACUCCAGUCGGUUGACCAUCUGUGGUGGAAGGACAAAGAUUCUAUUCUCAGUUCCGCUGGGCUACGGAAGGGACACCACUGCCCAGAGCUCCAAGUUUCGAGGUCUUGCCAUGGUGGGCAUGAAGACAGUUCAUUGUGGCCAACCUUCUGAAGCCAGGUGUAACCAUGCGAUGAGCGGAAGGAGUAUGGAGACAGUGAUCUGUGUCCCUCUAAGCACUCACAGGGCAUUAUUCAGGCAAAGCUCAACUGCUGUUACCGCCCCAGCAGGUGUUACUACACAUUUCCAAUCUUUAGAGAGAGAUGAAGAGAGAAGGAAGAGAGUGCGAGUGAAAUAAAACAAGAAAAACAGGAGAAAGUUAAUUUCCUUGUUACAUCUUUUGUCUUUUGCCUGCUAUGAAGGAAAAAAAAAAUCUUAAAAGGUUGAACAUGAAAGAAUGCUGUAUAUUUCACAAUGAAAUAUGAACCACCUUUUGUUUUACUUUUAAGUUCAGAAAUGCAGAGUACUUGACAGGAAACACUCGUCUUAUGUAGACUUCAAGUCAGUCUUCAAGCAACCUAUGUGUAGGCUAUUUAACAAACUGAUCAUAUGAGACUUUUCCUCAGUUGCAUAUGAAAUCUAUGUUUGCACAAGUAAGUGAACAAGAUUGUUGAAUUCUGUUUUCAUUUUUUACUUAUAGCAGGUAUACCUUAAACUGCAGUAUUUGCAUAUUUAUUUUAGAAGGUUGAGCAGAAAUGAUUAUAUCCAACACCUGAAGAGUAUUUUUGUAUGGUCUUUCUUUAUAGUGAUUAUAUUUCUACUGCCUUUGAUAAUGGUCUUCAUGAAAAAUCUCCUAAGGUAAACAAUACAUUUAAAAAUCUUCCUGUCAUAAUUGAUACCGAUACACUUAUAGCCAUGAAACUUGAAAGUCACAGAUAAAAUUGUUUUAGAAUACAAGAUUAAUCUAAUAUUGCUUUUGGUUAUUAGGGCAUGGAAGUUAUGUGGGACACUGAUAUGAGCCAAAGAUUGAAUGUGAGAGGAAACAAGAGGCCAACUUUUAACUUUUAACACAUGAAAUUAAAUAUGUGCAUGUUAAAAGAACAGAACUCUAUCUUAUUUGUUUAUUAUUUAUUUAUUUAUUUAGUUAGUUAGUUAGUUUUUUCUCGGGGAGAACUCAAAUGACCCAAAAUUAAAGAUUACUCUUCAGUAACUGUGUGAAAAGUUUUUCUUAAUGAUAGUCAGAAAGUAGAAAGAAUUAUGUAGUGAAUAGUAACUACUUCAUACUAGAGCCUUUUCAAAAUGAAGAUAUUUAAUUCUUCAUUUCAUUUAUAUUUAAUAAGGUACCCACUAUACAGUUGAGGAAUUCCAAUUAUUUUGAAAAAUAGUGACCCAUAGGUCAGCCCUAUCUUGACAAUUUCUGGUUAAGAGUUCAAGGAAAAAACUCAGGGUCUUAAAAAUAUAAAAAUCUAUGUAGAUUGUCAUCAUCAUGAAAGAAUGGUUCACUUAUUUUAUGAAUAUGAUGAUUAUUUUCUGUGCUAUUUAUUCUUAUGAAAACUGUUAGUUUCUUUGAUGAUGAAGAGAAAGGUGUUCAAGUGAUAAAAUACCCAGCUGACAGUCAUUCUUAAAAUAUUAGGUGAUAAAUGCUUUCCUUCUGAAAUCUAUUCAGCCUAAAUGCAUUACUCACUGUAUUUUAGCCAAUAUUCAUCCUGUAGCUUAUAAUGAUAUAGUGUCAGGGCUGAGAAUUUGAGCAAAUAAUUACUGAGAGCCAGGUGCCAGGGAAGUGGCAUGGCAGACAAGGGGACUUGUACUCUGGAUUGAAGGAAAGGAGGUUUAGAAUAGGUCUGGGAAAGGAGAAAGGGCCUUUUCUGGAAGAGGAAUGAAAUGAGCAGACACAGAUGUGAGGAUGAGUAUAGGUGGGAAAUAUCCAAACUCUGAAUUUCCCUUUGCGUAAAUAGAAAAAUGACGAUGAUGAUAGAUAAAUAGACAGAUAGAUAGAUAGAUAGUUUAAUAGGUAGGUGUUGAAUGGAGAAACUCACACUGGGAAGCGAAACUCUGUGGUGAUAUUUUAGUGAAGCUUAUUAAAUAGAAAAAUGAAAUAAAAUAUAAAUAGAAAAUUUAUAUCAUUUAAAACUUAUGAAGGAGAUGUUUAUCUUAAUAUAACAAAUAUUGAGAAAUAGGGAAAGAGGGAUUUGAAAACCUAGCAAUUUGAACUUUAUCACUUUUCUGUCUGAGGAUGGAAACUCAGGUUAGAUAUUCAUGCAACAACUGAAAUGACGCAACCGUGUUCUUCCUCCACCUGCGCUCCAGGACUGCAGUUCGGAAGACAAUGGAGCAGUGACUCGCACAGCGCUGGUUGAGUAUAAAUCGGUAUAAUUUCUCUGAAGGAAAAAAAUUAAAUGCCCUAUAAGUCAAAAACCUUGAAAAUGUAUAGAUACGAACGAUUCUACUGCUUGGAAUUUAUCCAAAAUAAAUGGUCAGAUAAUCCAGGUCAUUAAAAUAGAAUCAACCUAAAUGCGAACUGUACAGGAUUGACUCAAUAAAUUAUAUUAUAUCCAGAUGGCCAUCACUGUGUAAUUCCAGCCAUGAAAAAACAUCACUCUUGACAAUUGUUUCAAGUUCGGGUGAAGUGGAGAAGUUUUCUUCAUCAGCAACCCUUGGAAUUAUGCACAGGUAGCCUAUGAGUUCAGCCACACAAGGGACGAUGAAAAUGAGAAUGCCAGGAAACUUGCAUCCAUCCCCCUUUCCUAUGACUAUGCCGGCUGCCAAAGUGCUGACCAAAGUUGAAAGGUCAGCAGUCAUCUGUGGCAGAUGUGCUUCAUCCUGAUAAACACUUGGUUGCUGGAAACAGUUCUGUUCACAGAUAGCUUAUAAUUCAGCAAUGAUUGAAAAGAAAAGCCACCUAUAUCCUCUUGCUAAAUUUCCCUUGAGAAGAAUGAGUAAAGUGAGCUGUGUAGCCUUGGAACCAUGGAAGAGAUUUCCUGUGUAAUGUUCACAGUUUUGGCAAGAUGAAAAUCCUCACUACAUGGCUUCCCGUGUGGUCACCGGAAGGCUAUAAGAUGCAACCUGGAAUCUGAGGAGUUGGCUAUUUGUGAUGUGACCUUUGACCGAAAGGAAAGGGAGACUGGAAGCAGCUGCCACAGACGGAUUGGAGAAGACCAUCGUGAUCCAAGCAUGGCUAUGUAGAGUGAAGUGAAUGUGGCAAGAACUGUGCCUUUUAUACUGAAUUCAGAUGAGAAUCGGCAUUGACAUUGACAUUUGGAAGGAAGUCUAUAAUUUGGUGGUUAAACUGCCUGUGAGAUUUUCAUUUGAAGAAGAGAACUGAUUCAGCAUGAUUGGACAAUAUAUUGAAUGAGACCAGGAAGCCAUCUCUGCUUCCUCACUUCUCACUUGACCAGGGAGGAUAUAAAUGGCUGUAUGAAGGGGUUUGAGUGACUUGUUCCCGUGAGAACAGUUCUCAGGAAUGAGCUAUCUUCCUAUCUUGCUGAAACACUUGUGUAUUUCUAUGGCACUAAUUAGUACAUAGGGCCCUGACAGAUCACAUUAGUUCAGGGAGAACAUAAGAACCAAGGAAAACAUUCUCAUAUCAUUGUCCCAAAGGUCUGCCUAUGGUGUGCCGGUAAAGUUUUACAAUUUUUUUCCCCUAGACAUUCAAAAUAUUAACUACAAUGUUGCAUUAAUAUAAUGAACUAAUAUUCCUUGGUAUAAUUAAUUUUUCCUACUAAAUUUGAAGACUUUGAAAGCUCUGUAUCUUGGGAUCAAGCCUAUAUGCUUGUUAUUAUAUAUUUUUUUUCCUCAGGCUUGACUGAAAAACGUUUAAGUGUAAGAAUGAAAGAAUAUUGAAGUCAUGAGUUUCUAAUUUCUCUAUGAACAGAUAUCCCAAUUAAGGGUAGGGACGAAUGUUUGCUUUCUAGCAGCCAACCCCAAAGCAUCACCAUACACCCCUCAUAUACAAAUCACUUCUUUCUGUAUGUUCCCGUAUCAUUGCGUCCUUGACUAUCACUGUGCUCACUACUGUGAUUUUAAAAUUAUUUAUCUAUCUAACAUUUUUUUACUGGAUUCUAACUCCAAAAAGGUAGGAAACUGGUCUUAUUUUGUGUGUGUGUCUUCUUCAAACCUUGGUACAGGGUAAGGCAUAUGGUAAUUGCUUAUUGAAUGAAUCAAUACUCCAUUGAAUAGUCAUUUUAUUUUGUUCUCACAUUACUUCUGAACUUGAUCAACAUUAGAGUCUGCCAAACGCUUUUUUUAGAAGCUAUUUUAAUCCUAUAUCAAGUUACGAAAACUUAAACAAUUUUCUGUUAAAAAAUAAAAUGUUUGUUUUCA
This is a long non-coding RNA of Felis catus (domestic cat), 7314 nucleotides long. RefSeq lists it as uncharacterized. NCBI's taxonomy places the organism in Eukaryota, Metazoa, Chordata, Mammalia, Carnivora, Felidae. The record is from RefSeq and is a predicted model, not a curated record. The transcript has 6 exons.